Molecule: long non-coding RNA, 1177 nt
Organism: Lathyrus oleraceus (garden pea)
Lineage: Eukaryota; Viridiplantae; Streptophyta; Magnoliopsida; Fabales; Fabaceae
Exons: 2
Source: RefSeq, a predicted model, not a curated record
UAAUUUUCAAAAUUGAAUCAAGUUUGCUUUUUGACCAUUUAGUUGCAAAAGUUAUGCACAUUUGUUGUAUUUCAUUUACCUUUAUAUACAUUUGUUGACUGAUUCUCAUUCAUUCUGGUUCUAAAUUAACUAUUUCCAAAGUCAAAUUGAUAACUUUGUCACUUUCAAAAAAUUUGUUUCCCAUUGCCAAAGUUCACGCUGCAUCAUCUCUCUUCCUAACAUUAUCUCUCUAUUCCUCUUCUUCUUUCUUCUCUAAUCCAUAUCUUCCCAUUCUUAUUUCUUCUCUCUACCGCUGUUUGUACGAACAUCAUCUCUCUCUUCCUUUUCUUCUUUUUUCUCUCUUCCUUUUCUUCAACGGUAACUAUAAGGUUGUUGGGGUACCGAUCGAAAUAGGGGAGACGACGACAGUUGUGACGUUUUCGGUGAUAUGCAGUUUCGCGGUGAUAGAUCUGACUGGUUCUGCUAACAAUUUAGUUCGCAUGUUUGAUCGCCAAAAACUAAAUGGUCACAGGGUUGGGUCUCCCUAAUAAAAUUGGCUUUGCAAGUAUGACUCUAGAAAUUCCAUUUUUGAGUGGUUUGCUCAAUACGACGACAAGCUAGCUUAAGCAAACAAGUUUUGGUUAUGAAAUUCUUAUUUUCGUUUUAUAAAGCUCCACAGCAUUACAAUAUUUCAAAUUUUGUCACAAACGUAUCCUUUUGUAUAUGAAUGGACUCUAUGCACCAUGGAAGUAUUAAUGCGGCAUAUUGUGUGGGACUAAUGAAAGCUAACGAGAUUUACUACAACAAAUCGCGUGAAACGGUUAUUAUAUUAUCGCACAAACAUAUUGAUUGCUAAUUUUACAUAAAUGAGGGAUGUCUUAAAAAUGUAAAUUUCUGAGUAUGGUAAAUGUUUUGAUUAAGAGUUUUUGAGCAGCAACCAGCCUCCAAACCUAUUGUCAGGGAAAUGGCUUAAUUUCAAAACAAGCAGGAUCAAAGAUAGUAUUGGAUUCUGGCUCCCACACCCUAGGAUAUGUUUUAGUAUAUUGGGGGAUAGCUUCCAGUAUGUUCUUUAUGUUAAUUAGUCGGUUCUGAAUUUUGAGUUAAUAAUGUUGUUGCUGUCAAUUACUUUAUAUUGAUUAUCACGUAGGUAUUUUUCUGAAUUGUUGAAUUAAACAAAGUAAGAUAAAGUUUACGCAUA